Molecule: ribosomal RNA, 471 nt
Filed under: uncultured Glomus
Lineage: Eukaryota; Fungi; Glomeromycota; Glomeromycetes; Glomerales; Glomeraceae
Description: SSU rRNA
Rfam family: Eukaryotic small subunit ribosomal RNA
Source: RNAcentral
AGCAGCCGCGGUAAUUCCAGCUCCAAUAGCGUAUAUUAAAGUUGUUGCAGUUAAAAAGCUCGUAGUUGAAUUUCGGGAUCAAAUUGUCGGUCGUGCCUCGGUACGCACUGGUAUUAUUGGUUCCUACCUUCUGAAGAACCGCGAUGUCAUUAAUUUGGUGUCGUGGGGAAUCAGGACUGUUACUUUGAAAAAAUUAGAGUGUUUAAAGCAGGCUUACGCUUGAAUACAUUAGCAUGGAAUAAUGAAAUAGGACGUUUGAUUCUAUUUUGUUGGUUUCUAGGAUCGACGUAAUGAUUAAUAGGGAUAGUUGGGGGCAUUAGUAUUCAAUUGUCAGAGGUGAAAUUCUUGGAUUUAUUGAAGACUAACUACUGCGAAAGCAUUUGCCAAGGAUGUUUUCAUUAAUCAAGAACGAAAGUUAGGGGAUCGAAGACGAUCAGAUACCGUCGUAGUCUUAACCAUAAACUAUGCCGA